UGUAGUGGAUUACCAUGGUGAUGACGGGUAACGGGGAAUUAGGGUUGAUUCCGGAGAAAAGGCCUGAGAGACGGCCAUUACUUCUAAGGAAGGCAGCAGGCGCAAGGGAUGACCUAUUAAGUGAAAACAUUAAAUCAUUUUAUAUUGACUCUGAAGUGCUAAAGUAUGGGGUUCAAAUGGGGGUUGUAUUCCCAAUAGUCCAUACCCUGACCGCUGAGAGUUAGAUUAGUUUAAAAUUAAAUAAAUAGUUAUGCAUUAUUGUAAAAAACCCAGAAUUUUUUAUAACAGUAUAAUUUAUUUGUUUAUUCUUUAAUUGAAAUUUAGAUUAAUCUGAAGCUAACGCCUAAACUCUCUACCUGGCAAGUAAUGUUGCAAAGCCGAAAGUCAAGGGAAUUGACGGUGAAUCUUAACAGCUGUGGAUCAUAUGAUUUAAUCUGAUGCAACGCACUACAU
Molecule: ribosomal RNA, 453 nt
Filed under: uncultured eukaryote
Lineage: Eukaryota
Description: partial 18S ribosomal RNA
Rfam family: Eukaryotic small subunit ribosomal RNA
Source: RNAcentral